Long non-coding RNA from Pygocentrus nattereri (red-bellied piranha), 666 nucleotides. NCBI's taxonomy places the organism in Eukaryota, Metazoa, Chordata, Actinopteri, Characiformes, Serrasalmidae. The record is from Ensembl.
AUGGACUCUGAAGGAGACUCUGGUAAUAAAUUCCACAAGCUUCUUCAGGAAGCACAGAGACUUGCAGCAGAGCUCAAUCCAAAAUUGGCAAAGAAAAGAAGGUCGGCAAAACCCGUAUCUGGUGUUGUUAGUUGGAGACAGAGGGAUAAUUCAGGACAAAUUAUUCCAAAAUUUCCCCCAAAGACUUAUAACUCGACUACACGUAAAAGGAGCAGUUCUGAAGUGGCUGAACCAGUAUUUCAGCAGCCUGAGCCAACACCUUAUGAUAGUGCUCAAGAACUUAAUGCACUGCAAGACAUUCUCAGGGACAUUCCUCCACAAGAGAAGGGCACUGUGCCACUAAGCUGGGCUGAACGGCAAGCUCAAAGCUCAGAGAAGUGGAAUGCUUCUAGAUCAGCCAUGGUUAAAAACAUAUUUCUCGCAGAGCACACAGACACCUAUAUCUGUGACAUCUGCCUGCAAAACACAUCUGUUGUGAGGUGCAGAGAUUGUUUGCCAAGACAGUUCCUGUGCAGUUCCUGCGAUACACAGAUACAUCAGCACAUCCUCCAUAACCGAGAAGCCAUGUUUGAGGGAUUCUAUCAACCCUUAGCCCCAAACAUGAUCAUUCAACUUCAAAAUGAUGGGUCACACCAGAUAAAGCAUGAAGAUUUUAAAUUCUUUUAA